GUGACCUCAAAUCAGGUAGGACUACCCGCUGAACUUAAGCAUAUCAAUAAGCGGAGGAAAAGAAACUAACAAGGAUUCCCCUAGUAACUGCGAGUGAAGCGGGAAAAGCUCAAAUUUAAAAUCUGGCGGUCUUUGGCUGUCCGAGUUGUAAUCUAGAGAAGUGUUAUCCGCGCUGGACCGUGUACAAGUCUCCUGGAAUGGAGCAUCAUAGAGGGUGAGAAUCCCGUCUUUGACAUGGACUACCAGGGCUUUGUGAUGCGCUCUCAAAGAGUCGAGUUGUUUGGGAAUGCAGCUCAAAAUGGGUGGUAAAUUCCAUCUAAAGCUAAAUAUUGGCGAGAGACCGAUAGCGAACAAGUACCGUGAGGGAAAGAUGAAAAGAACUUUGGAAAGAGAGUUAAACAGUACGUGAAAUUGCUGAAAGGGAAACGCUUGAAGUCAGUCGCGUCGUCCAGGGAUCAACCUUGCUUUUGCUUGGUGCACUUUCUGGUUCGAUGGGUCAGCAUCAAUUUUGACUGUUGGAAAAAGGUUGAGGGAAUGUGGCAUCUUUGGAUGUGUUUAUAGCCCUUGGUCACAUACAAUG
Molecule: ribosomal RNA, 580 nt
Filed under: Cortinarius alboviolaceus
Lineage: Eukaryota; Fungi; Basidiomycota; Agaricomycetes; Agaricales; Cortinariaceae
Description: eukaryotic LSU rRNA
Rfam family: Eukaryotic large subunit ribosomal RNA
Source: RNAcentral